This is a non-coding RNA of Paramuricea clavata, 513 nucleotides long. The record is from the annotation of a GenBank genome assembly. NCBI's taxonomy places the organism in Eukaryota, Metazoa, Cnidaria, Anthozoa, Malacalcyonacea, Plexauridae.
CUGAAAUUCUUCAGGGGUAAAGGGUUUUGAGCUUGGAAUUCUUCAGGGGUAAAGUGUUUUGAGCUUGGAAUUCUUCAGGGGUAAAGUGUUUUGAGUUUGGAAUUCUUCAGGGGUAAAUGGUUUUGAGCUUGGAAUUCUUCAGGGGUAAAGGGUUUUGAGCUUGGAAUUCUUCAGGGGUGAAGAGGUUUGAGAUUGAAAUUUUUCAGAGCUUGGAAUUCUUCAGGGGUAAAAGGUUUUGAGCUUGAAAUUCUUCAGGGGUAAAGGGCUUUGAGCCUGGAAUUCUUUAGGGUGAAGGGUUUUGAGCUUGGAAUUCUUCAGGGGUAAAAGGUUUUGAGCUUGGAAUUCCUCAGGGGUAAAGGGUUUUGAGCUUGGAAUUUUGGAAUUCUUCAGGGGUAAAAGGUUUUGAGCUUGGAAUUCUUCAGGGGUAAAGAGUUUUGAGCUUGGAAUUUUGGAAUUCUUCAGGGGUAAACAGUUUUGAGCUUGGAAUUCUUCAGGGGUAUGACAAUGAAAAAC